CUGUAUACUGCCUAGUCAAAACUCUAAAUAGCCAUUUUCUACAUGUAAAUGGGAUUGGAUGAGUGACUCACCUCAACUCCCACCAUGUGAGUGUGCUGUCUGCUAUCACUCCUAGUUUGGCCCGGGUGGCAGGCUUCACCUGCUCCGCUGCAGGUCGGCAGUUCAGAGGGGUGCUGGACGAGCACCUAGCCAUGCUGUACUUUCCGGAGGGGAACACGGAGCUGGCUGUGAAGGGGGAGGAAGGGCAGCUGUACCACUGGAGCCUACCCUCCUCCUUCCAGCUACUGAAGGAUCUGGUGGCAGACGGGAAGGGACUUUUCCAUCUUGUUCCUUACCUUUUGGCUGAGACCUUCCUCGCGUGCUGUCUUCUGUGUCCCGUGCCCUCACCCAGUGCUCCCACCCACUGUUCCCCCGACCUCCCAGCCCUUAAGGUUGGCCAGGAACACCUACACUCCUUCCUGGGAGGAAAGCUUCGGUGCCGGGACCCCUUCGACCAGGAAGUCAGAGCACAUAUUCAUAGAUGACAACAUCCGGCAGAAUGAUGAGGACAUCGUUGCCCAUCCAAAAGUGUUCCUGGACUGAGACGGCUCAGAGACCUGCAUAUAGCCUCCACCUCACAGCUGUAUGACCUACGUCUGGUCCAGAACGACCGUUCAGAGCCAUCUAAGACCUAGUGUAUUUUAGCCAGCUAUGACAGGAACCUCCAGCAUGGGGCAGGC
This is a long non-coding RNA of Oncorhynchus tshawytscha (Chinook salmon), 719 nucleotides long. Lineage: Eukaryota; Metazoa; Chordata; Actinopteri; Salmoniformes; Salmonidae. The record is from Ensembl.